Molecule: long non-coding RNA, 1191 nt
Organism: Ziziphus jujuba (common jujube)
Lineage: Eukaryota; Viridiplantae; Streptophyta; Magnoliopsida; Rosales; Rhamnaceae
Exons: 4
Source: RefSeq, a predicted model, not a curated record
GAAUAGGUGGUAAUAAAACCCAAUGGCCGGUAAGAAAUCACGAUGGCAUUUGUUCUUUCUUCCCCCGGGGGGGGGAGAGAAUUUGGCCCUUUGCCUUUAUUUUAAACAGCUUAAUGAAAAAGACCCCUGCCCUUUAAAACUUUUUUCAUCUACCCAUCUUUUUUUCAUUAUUCCAACUUUAUGCUUACUCUGUAAACCACGUGCAAUUUUUUUCUCUCACUGAUCAAUAUCUCACCUACCACAUUCCACAUCCAGACAGAGCUUUUACAGCUUUAGCAGCUCACCUCUUCUUCUCUGCUGCUUGUCUUCUGUUGAUGUUCUUCCCCAACGUCCGUCCGUCUACAACCCCAUCGCUUCCAAUCAGCUCCCUCUGGCUGUAAUCAGCGAUAUUUACCUUCUAGACUUCGUGGAUCCGUCUGGGUUUGUUCAGGAAAUCUCUUCCAAGGUCAGCAGAGUGGUGGUUUCAGAUCACUACAAGACUGCAGCAGAUUGCAGUGAGAGUUCUUGUUCAGUUGGUGAGAAUGUGGAGAGGGUUAUUGACAUCCGGAGGAGUGGUGCUACUAUUGUUUUUGAUUAUUUCAAGGAAAGAGCUGGUAGUGGUCUAAAAGAUUUGAAUUUUGUUUUGAUGAGGGUUUGAUCUUUGAAUCCAUCUUCUUUCAAGCGGGAUGUAAUUAGUCAGGGAUUAACCAGCUUAUCCUAGAAGCAGGAAUGAUUCUCUCGGCCAAUCAUAUGAGAUUGCUCUUGUGGCUGGAGCAUUUGGAGAUUGCCUGGCUAUGAAAGCUGAUUCUAUAUUGGAGUUGAGGAGUGAACUUGGACAUAAAUUAGCCAACAAAAGCUGUAAUCUAAAGUUGAGGUGUUGAGGCUCAGCAGACAGAACUGUGAAAUUCUGGGAUUUGGAAACCUUCGAACUGAUUGGAUAUACAAGCCUCGGAGUCACAGCAUUCGACGUCUACUUGGUGAGUGAGCAAGUCUGCAGCCGAAGAGAGCUUGGGAGAGAGAAGAGAAAGAGAGAGAGAGCAGGUCUGCAGCUGGUGUUCUUUCUUAUAUUUUUUAUCAUUAAAGAAUGUUGCACUCAACAUGUUCUAUGGUGCAAUACAUUGUUAAAAAAUAAUUGUAAAUUUUGAUGAUUUGUGAAAGAAAAAUUUAAACGCAAUUUUGAUGAUAAUUAAAAAUAUCCUCACCUUAAAAGCA